Molecule: ribosomal RNA, 172 nt
Filed under: uncultured Leuconostoc sp.
Lineage: Bacteria; Bacillati; Bacillota; Bacilli; Lactobacillales; Lactobacillaceae
Description: partial 16S ribosomal RNA
Rfam family: Bacterial small subunit ribosomal RNA
Source: RNAcentral
CGGAGGAAGGUGGGGACGACGUCAGAUCAUCAUGCCCCUUAUGACCUGGGCUACACACGUGCUACAAUGGCGUAUACAACGAGUUGCCAACCUGCGAAGGUGAGCUAAUCUCUUAAAGUACGUCUCAGUUCGGACUGCAGUCUGCAACUCGACUGCACGAAGUCGGAAUCGC